UACAGAGGUCUCAAGCGUUGUUCGGAUUCAUUGGGCGUAAAGGGUGCGUAGGCGGCGCGGUAAGUCGGGUGUGAAAUCUCGGAGCUUAACUCCGAAACUGCAUUCGAUACUGCCGUGCUUGAGGACUGGAGAGGAGACUGGAAUUUACGGUGUAGCGGUGAAAUGCGUAGAUAUCGUAAGGAAGACCAGUGGCGAAGGCGGGUCUCUGGACAGUUCCUGACGUGAGGCACGAAGGCCAGGGGAGCAAACGGG
RNAcentral lists this ribosomal RNA (252 nucleotides) under uncultured bacterium. RNAcentral's name for it is "partial 16S ribosomal RNA". It matches the Rfam family "Bacterial small subunit ribosomal RNA", at positions 524 to 776 of the family's 1533-position model. The record is from RNAcentral.